RNAcentral lists this ribosomal RNA (474 nucleotides) under uncultured bacterium. RNAcentral describes it as "partial 16S ribosomal RNA". It matches the Rfam family "Bacterial small subunit ribosomal RNA", at positions 28 to 507 of the family's 1533-position model. The record is from RNAcentral.
GAUGAACGCUAGCGGCAGGCCUAACACAUGCAAGUCGAGGGAGGAGCUUUCGGGCUUCGACCGGCGUACGGGUGCGUAACGCGUAUACAAUCUGCCUUUCACAUAGGGAUAGCCCGAAGGAAUUUGGAUUAAUACCUAAUGGUAUAUAGAGGUGGCAUCACCUUUAUAUUAAAGCUGAGGCGGUGAAAGAUGAGUAUGCGUUCUAUUAGCUAGUUGGAGAGGUAACGGCUCCCCAAGGCGACGAUAGAUAGGGGUUCUGAGAGGGAUAUCCCCCACACUGGUACUGAGAUACGGACCAGACUCCUACGGGAGGCAGCAGUGAGGAAUAUUGGACAAUGGUCGGAAGACUGAUCCAGCCAUGCCGCGUGCAGGAAGACGGCCUUAUGGGUUGUAAACUGCUUUUGCAGGGGAAGAAUAAGGACUACGCGUAGUUUGAUGACGGUACUCUGCGAAUAAGCAUCGGCUAACUCCGUG